UGGGGAAUAUUGGACAAUGGGCGCAAGCCUGAUCCAGCCAUGCCGCGUGUGUGAAGAAGGCCUUCGGGUUGUAAAGCACUUUUGUCCGGAAAGAAAUCCUUCGAAUUAAUACUUCGGAGGGAUGACGGUACCGGAAGAAUAAGCACCGGCUAACUUCGUGCCAGCAGCCGCGGUAAUACGAAGGGUGCAAGCGUUACUCGGAAUUACUGGGCGUAAAGCGUGCGUAGGUGGUUCGUUAAGUCUGAUGUGAAAGCCCUGGGCUCAACCUGGGAAUGGCAUUGGAUACUGGCGACCUAGAGUGCGGUAGAGGGGUGUGGAAUUCCCGGUGUAGCAGUGAAAUGCGUAGAUAUCGGGAGGAACAUCUGUGGCGAAGGCGACACCCUGGACCAGCACUGACACUGAGGCACGAAAGCGUGGGGAGCAAACAGGAUUAGAUACCCUGGUAGUCCACGCCCUAAACGAUGCGAACUGGAUGUUGGGUGCAACUUGGCACUCAGUAUCGAAGCUAACGCGUUAAGUUCGCCGCCUGGGAAGUACGGUCGCAAGACUGA
This 551-nucleotide ribosomal RNA is filed under the name uncultured Lysobacter sp. RNAcentral describes it as "bacterial SSU rRNA". It matches the Rfam family "Bacterial small subunit ribosomal RNA", at positions 355 to 897 of the family's 1533-position model. The record is from RNAcentral. Lineage: Bacteria; Pseudomonadati; Pseudomonadota; Gammaproteobacteria; Lysobacterales; Lysobacteraceae.